Molecule: ribosomal RNA, 500 nt
Filed under: uncultured bacterium
Lineage: Bacteria
Description: bacterial SSU rRNA
Rfam family: Bacterial small subunit ribosomal RNA
Source: RNAcentral
AUUGAACGCUGGCGGAAUGCUUUACACAUGCAAGUCGAACGGCAGCACGGGGCAACCUGGUGGCGAGUGGCGAACGGGUGAGUAAUACAUCGGAACGUGCCCAAUCGUGGGGGAUAACGUAGCGAAAGUUACGCUAAUACCGCAUACGAUCUACGGAUGAAAGCGGGGGAUCGCAAGACCUCGCGCGAGUGGAGCGGCCGAUGUCAGAUUAGGUAGUUGGUGGGGUAAAGGCUCACCAAGCCAACGAUCUGUAGCUGGUCUGAGAGGACGACCAGCCACACUGGAACUGAGACACGGUCCAGACUCCUACGGGAGGCAGCAGUGGGGAAUUUUGGACAAUGGGCGCAAGCCUGAUCCAGCCAUUCCGCGUGCAGGAUGAAGGCCUUCGGGUUGUAAACUGCUUUGUACGGUAACGAAACGGCGAGCUCUAAUACAGUUUGCUAAUGACGGUACCGUAACGAAUAAGACACCGGCUAACUACGUGCCAGCAGCCGCGGUAA